CAGCUGCUGGUGUUUCUGCUGUUCCUCUGUGUGAUCGACCUCCUCACAAUUUUUCUCACACCCUAGCCUGGUCCCCCAUCUUAACUCUGAGAUGUUGGAGAGUACAUUGAAGGCCCAGGGUUCCUGUGCUCUGCUACUCAUCCUUUAUCAAGCUCUUUAUGGAUGGCCAGACUUCUUUCCCUGUGACCGAGCACCCAACUGAUGAGAUGGACCCCUCCCAGAUUCUGACCCGGACCCAGUAGGUACUUCUGAAGACGCUCUGACAUCCCCAACCUCACUGUCUCAACAUCAGCUGAACCAGG
Non-coding RNA from Oncorhynchus mykiss (rainbow trout), 302 nucleotides. The record is from RefSeq and is a predicted model, not a curated record. Lineage: Eukaryota; Metazoa; Chordata; Actinopteri; Salmoniformes; Salmonidae.